AGAGUUUGAUCCUGGCUCAGAUUGAACGCUGGCGGCAUGCCUAACACAUGCAAGUCGAACGAGAGUAGCAAUACUCUAGUGGCGGACGGGUGAGGAAUACGUAGGAAUUUGCCCUUAAGUGGGGGGAUAGCCCGGGGAAACCCGGAUUAAUACCGCAUGAUCUCGAAAGAGCAAAGUGGGGGAUCGCAAGACCUCACGCUUUUGGAGAAGCCUACGUCGGAUUAGCUAGUUGGUGAGGUAAUGGCUCACCAAGGCGACGAUCCGUAACUGGUCUGAGAGGAUGAUCAGUCACACCGGAACUGAGACACGGUCCGGACUCCUACGGGAGGCAGCAGUGGGGAAUAUUGGACAAUGGGCGCAAGCCUGAUCCAGCAAUGCCGCGUGUGUGAAGAAGGCCUUCGGGUUGUAAAGCACUUUAAGUUGGGAAGAAAAAACUCGUCCUAAUACGAUGAGUCUUGACGGUACCGACAGAAUAAGCACCGGCUAACUCUGUGCCAGCAGCCGCGGUAAUACAGAGGGUGCAAGCGUUAAUCGGAUUUACUGGGCGUAAAGCGUGCGUAGGCGGUUUGCUAAGUCGGUUGUGAAAGCCCUGGGCUUAACCUGGGAAUUGCAGUCGAUACUGGCAGGCUAGAGAACGGUAGAGGGAGGCGGAACUCCAGGUGUAGCGGUGAAAUGCGUAGAUAUCUGGAAGAACACCGAUGGCGAAGGCAACCUCCUGGGCCUGUUCUGACGCUGAGGCACGAAAGCGUGGGUAGCAAACAGGAUUAGAUACCCUAGUAGUCC
RNAcentral lists this ribosomal RNA (783 nucleotides) under uncultured bacterium. RNAcentral's name for it is "bacterial SSU rRNA". It matches the Rfam family "Bacterial small subunit ribosomal RNA", at positions 8 to 796 of the family's 1533-position model. The record is from RNAcentral.